This is a long non-coding RNA of Podarcis raffonei (Aeolian wall lizard), 242 nucleotides long. RefSeq lists it as uncharacterized. NCBI's taxonomy places the organism in Eukaryota, Metazoa, Chordata, Lepidosauria, Squamata, Lacertidae. The record is from RefSeq and is a predicted model, not a curated record. The transcript has 2 exons.
UUAGGUUUCAUUAUUGUUCCACAAGAUGUGUAUGUCUUUAAGGGCCAGAGCAAAUAACUUGACCUAGUUUUACAGCUGUGAAGCAGUAUAGCAGGUGCUGUUAAGUUAUGUUAAUUAAACUGUUGGGUAUAGUAUAUAAGGAGCAGCACCUAGCUCUCUCAGUAUCCUGGUGGAUGGGUCAUGCUUACAGAUAUAUUGUAAAAGGAGUUUUUGUUUUUGCUAUUAAAACCUAGCAAAAGUUA